RNAcentral lists this ribosomal RNA (301 nucleotides) under uncultured bacterium. Its description in RNAcentral is "partial 16S ribosomal RNA". It matches the Rfam family "Bacterial small subunit ribosomal RNA", at positions 509 to 807 of the family's 1533-position model. The record is from RNAcentral.
CAGUCGCCACGGUAAUACGAAGGGGGCUAGCGUUGUUCGGAAUUACUGGGCGUAAAGCGCACGUAGGCGGAUACUUAAGUCAGGGGUGAAAUCCCGGGGCUCAACCCCGGAACUGCCUUUGAUACUGGGUAUCUCGAGUCCGGAAGAGGUGAGUGGAAUUCCGAGUGUAGAGGUGAAAUUCGUAGAUAUUCGGUGGAACACCAGUGGCGAAGGCGGCUCACUGGUCCGGUACUGACGCUGAGGUGCGAAAGCGUGGGGAGCAAACAGGAUUAGAUACCCGUGUAGUCCCUGUCUCUUAUAC